RNAcentral lists this microRNA (22 nucleotides) under Petromyzon marinus (sea lamprey). RNAcentral describes it as "Pma-Mir-219-o1_3p (mature (co-guide))". Lineage: Eukaryota; Metazoa; Chordata; Hyperoartia; Petromyzontiformes; Petromyzontidae. The record is from RNAcentral.
AGAAUUGUGGGUGGACAUCGGU